Long non-coding RNA from Ornithorhynchus anatinus (platypus), 1124 nucleotides. RefSeq lists it as uncharacterized. NCBI's taxonomy places the organism in Eukaryota, Metazoa, Chordata, Mammalia, Monotremata, Ornithorhynchidae. The record is from RefSeq and is a predicted model, not a curated record. The transcript has 3 exons.
GGGCAGCUGGGUGGUGGGUCUGAUUCUGCCCUGGGAUCUGCUCUCCGAGGCCCUGCCGGGAAAACAACCACAACCCACCGACACAUCAGAAGACGACCGGACGACCUGAAGCCAGAAACCUGGAGACUUAUUAGAAAACAGGCACUCGGCCACCGUCGUCUGUGAAUGUGCCCUCACGAUAUCAAACUGCGGCGAAGCUAAAGAAGGGAGUCGCCGAGAAGUAGAGAGAGUCGUCGCAAGAGGACCGGCGUCUGACGGACUGAUUACGGGCCACGCGGAGGAGGCACUGUGGUCUAGUCGAAGGGUUUCUCUGCCCUUGGGCCCCGGGCAAGGUUGCCCUCAAGGAUAUGUACCUCCGCUACUGCAGAAUCAAUGGCUCUCAUCAAGAGCUCUGGAUGGGCCCGGGGUGUUGCCGGGACCCACCCUCCUCCUGACCUACCUUGGUCACAUCCGGAACGUUGAAGGACUUCUUGGUGUGAGCCGCCCAGCCCACGAUCCCGAUGUCCAGAGGGAAGACCACCUCGUUGUCCGGGGCCACCAGAUUCUCCUCGAACUUGGAAGCGGGCGUGACGUCGAGCAGCCGGGUGGCCACUUCGGGGAUGCCAUUCCGGGAGCGGAAGAUGAACAGGCUGCAGCGGUCGGCGCUCAACAGCUGGGCCAGUCUCCUCAGGACUCUGUGGACCACCAUCUCCAUGGUGAUUGCCUCAUCCUGCAUGUCCAGGAGAAUCUCAAAGAGCAGGGACGACUCCUCCAGCUGGGUCAUCUCCCUAAAGGAGACGCUGUCCUUCACAGGCCCCACGUUGCCCCGGAAAAGGUCUCGCAGGACCUCCGUCCGCAUUUUCUUGUCGAAGAACUCUCUGGCGAACUGGGGGUUGUUCUCCAGGAAUCUCUCCACCUCAUCUCUGCUCAUCUCCCCCAUGGUGCCUCUCUUGGUUUCCAGAAACCUCUCCCUGACCCAGCGGGGGCCACGGAGACGGAGGCACGGUGGGGCCGGGCCUCUUCGGGCUUCACGGUCUGGAUUCUCAACUCCCUCCCACCCUCCGCCCCUGCCCCGAAACUCUAGAGAUGUAACAGACGGCGGAGGCUUAGUGUCCUCUUAAUGGGGAGAUCCUCGGGGCUGCUAA